CCUACGGGUGGCAGCAGUGAGGAAUAUUGGUCAAUGGGCGCGAGCCUGAACCAGCCAAGCCGCGUGCAGGAAGACUGCCCUAUGGGUUGUAAACUUCUUUUAUACAAGGGUAAACGCAGGUACGCGUAUCUGUUUGUAAGUACUUUACGAAUAAGGAUCGGCUAACUCCGUGCCAGCAGCCGCGGUAAUACGGGGGAUGCGAGCGUUAUCCGGAUUUAUUGGGUUUAAAGGGUGCGUAGGAUGUGAUGUAAGUCAGGGGUGAAAUGUCCGCGCUCAACGGGGUGAAGUGACAUUGAUACUGGCUUGCUUGAGUGCAGAUGAGGUGGGAGGAAUGUGUGGUGUAGCGGUGAAAUGCAUAGAUAUCACAAAGAACACCGAUUGCGAAGGCAUCUUACGAAUCCGCCAUUGACAUUGAUGCACGAAAGUGUGGGUAUCAAACAGGAUUAGAUACCCUUGUAGUC
RNAcentral lists this ribosomal RNA (461 nucleotides) under uncultured bacterium. RNAcentral describes it as "partial 16S ribosomal RNA". It matches the Rfam family "Bacterial small subunit ribosomal RNA", at positions 338 to 795 of the family's 1533-position model. The record is from RNAcentral.